Small nuclear RNA from Suricata suricatta (meerkat), 162 nucleotides. Its record names the gene U1. It matches the Rfam family "U1 spliceosomal RNA". Rfam says of the family: U1 is a small nuclear RNA (snRNA) component of the spliceosome (involved in pre-mRNA splicing). Its 5' end forms complementary base pairs with the 5' splice junction, thus defining the 5' donor site of an intron. There are significant differences in sequence and secondary structure between metazoan and yeast U1 snRNAs, the latter being much longer (568 nucleotides as compared to 164 nucleotides in human). The record is from Ensembl. NCBI's taxonomy places the organism in Eukaryota, Metazoa, Chordata, Mammalia, Carnivora, Herpestidae.
AUACCUACCUGGCCAAGAAGAAACUAUGAUUACAAUGGUAGUUUUCCCAGGACAAGGCUUAUCCAUUGCACUCUGGAUGUGAUGACCCUUGUGAUUUCCCCAAAUGUGAGAAACUCGACUGUAUAAUCUGUGGUAGUGUGGGACUGUGUUCACAGUCUCCCU